This 1721-nucleotide unclassified non-coding RNA is filed under the name Bombus terrestris (buff-tailed bumblebee). RNAcentral's name for it is "misc RNA ENSBTSG00005021798.1". The record is from RNAcentral. Lineage: Eukaryota; Metazoa; Arthropoda; Insecta; Hymenoptera; Apidae.
CAGAUUUAACAUCAGUAAUGGACAGCUCAUAGAUGACUCGCAAUAUUUGAUUACAAUAGUAAAUGUACAUGUACAUUUAGGCACUCCUAACCUAAAAUAUUAUGACAGCUCCACUUUAAGAAACAUGGGUGUCUGUGCUGACCGUUUUUUAUCCGAAAUCAAGUCGUACAAAAAAUACGAAUAGAAGGAAAAGGUUGAAGGGGAAUGCCGUACCAGAACCAUCAAAAUAUUUAUUAAAAAAUAAAGAAGAAAAGGAAGAUAUACAAGAACGACAGCUCGUAAAAUUGAUGAGAAAAUAAGAAAGGCAAGACGAAAAAGACGAAGACUACUAUCAACAACAGCAAGCGAAUGUGGUUUAUUGGUAUAAAGGCGCAUCCGAAGGAGAGCUUUCCGUUAAAGCUGAGGAAGAUUCGCGCCCGAGAAAACAUCAAGAAAGAAGAGUUCAUGUCUUAAGAAUUAAGAGAAAGGGCGAAGAGCAGUUGGAAUUUCCUCGAUGGCAAAAAUUUAUUUAUUUUCUUUGUUUUUUGUUAACAAAUUAUUAUAUUCUGACAUUUUGUACUAUUUCUAACUUCUGUUGGGCUUUAUAUGUGUUAUUAUUCAAAAAUAUAGUAAACAAUUUAUUUUUCUUUUUCAGACAACUUACAAUUUUGUCCUUCUCCUAUUUGUCUAUCUCGUAUAGAAAAGUAGAUAUAAACUUUUUCGUAAAACCGAUAAUUAAAUAGAUUUUUUCAGCGUGGCACUCAAUAGGUUCUUGGCUAUGUAGUGUAUAAUCAAACAGAUCAGAUCUCAAACUUUAAGCUUAAAUACAUAUGUUCAUGCAUAUGCUAAUUUGCAAUCAAACAGGGAAGAUCUUUAAUUUUAUAGGUUCUUGUAUAUGCUAAUUUCAAUUAAACUCAGAAUUUGGUCACAUGCUGCAGCACUUGUACUGUAAAACAACUAGAACUACGUGCGCAAGUAAUCUUUUCUCUUUGUUACAUAUUAUAUCAGCGAUGCAUUAACUUAAUUAUAUUGCUAUUGGGCAAAUUUUUUGUAUGCCUCACACGAUUGGUUCUCAAUUGUCAUACAUUGAUUGACUCACUGGAUCUCUGAUUGGCUGCAUUCAAACAAAUUCAAAUUUAAAUAUGGAGAUAUACAGAUGAAGUGCGUGAAAAAACGGAGAAAGCAGUUUAGAAAUAAAAAGAUGCUACAUGGAGAAGUAAAGCGUUGUUCCGUUCUUUCUGUAUUAGCAUCGCGAUUAUUCUGAUUUUGUGUAUACGAUAAUAAAUUAGGUAAUAUAAUUUAAAGUAAACAAAUAAUUAAUAAAUGUGUAACUACGAGUGACUUAAUUGUGUUCUUUUGCACAACGAGAUUUGUUUGCCAGAUACUUGUUUAUAUCGCUCGUUAUAUUUUCAAUUUUAUGUGACGCACUAUUGAAGUAACUACGUUUGUUUUAUUGUUUUGAAUAAAAUGUGAUUUGGGUCACCAUGAACAGUAAAAGGGGGCAUGUCUAAUAAUAGAUAUUGUAGUUUGAAUACUGGAAAUAUUGAUCUUGCAUAUAUGGAUAUUGGUUAAAUAUUCUGAAGUAUGUAGUUUCUUUUUGUUAUUGCAUUAAUCCAAAUAAUUGAUCUUCAUGUUUAGAUAGAAUCAUGCUAGCCAAAACCAAAAAUUAAUUUAUCAAAAGUAACUAGCAGCACAGUAAAUAUUGCAUUGGAAAGAAUAAUCAAAAAAUGAUAUGAAUUAAU